AAAAGCUAAGUUAGGGCGUAUGGUGGAUGCCUUGGCUCUGAGAGGCGAAGAAGGACGUGAUAAGCUGCGAUAAGCUGCGGGUAUUGGCACAUACAAAUUAAUCCGCAGAUUUCCGAAUGGGGCAACCUAUCAUAUUAACUAUAUGAUAUUACUUUUUUAAAGUAAUGCUAACCUAGAGAACUGAAACAUCUAAGUAUCUAGAGGAAAAGAAAACAAAAGUGAUUCCGUUAGUAGUGGCGAGCGAAAUCGGAAAAGCCCAAACCAUUAUGGUUUAGGCCAUAGUGGGGUUGUAGGUCUACAAUAAAGGAUUAUUUUUAUAUAGUAGAAUGAUUUGGAAAAAUCAAUCAUAGAAGGUGAUAUUCCUGUAUACGAAAUAGAAAAAUAACCUAGUAGUAACCUGAUUAGGACGGGACACGGGAAAUCUUGUCUGAAUCUACCGGGACCAUCCGGUAAGGCUAAAUACUACUCAGAGACCGAUAGUGAACUAGUACCGUGAGGGAAAGGUGAAAAGUACUUCGAAUAGAAGGGUGAAAUAGAUCCUGAAACCAUACGCUUACAAGCUGUCGGAGCCCUCUUAAUUUUAUUAGGAGUAGGGUGACGACGUGCCUUUUGCAUAAUGAACCUACGAGUUAAUUUUUCCGGCAAGGUUAAGUAGUUCAGCUAUGGAGCCGUAGCGAAAGCGAGUCUGAAUAGGGCAUUUAGUCGGAAGAAUUAGACGCGAAACCGAGUGAUCUACCCAUGAGCAGGUUGAAGCUGUGGUAACACAUAGUGGAGGACCGAACCGGUUGACGUUGAAAAGUCUUCGGAUGACUUGUGGGUAGGGGUGAAAGGCUAAUCAAACUCGGAGAUAGCUCGUACUCCCCGAAAUGCAUUUAGGUGCAGCAUCGUGUUAAAUAUGACAGAGGUAGAGCUACUGAUUGGAUGAAGGGGUUUCAUCACCUACUAAUUCCUGAUAAACUCCGAAUGCUGUUAUUAUGUUUCACGGUAGUGAGGGCAUGGGUGCUAAGAUCCAUGUCCAAGAGGGAAACAACCCAGACCAUCAGUUAAGGUCCCUAAGUAUAUAUUAAGUUGUAUAAACAAAGUUUAAUUACACAGACAGCUAGGAUGUUAGCUUGGAAGCAGCUAUUCAUUUAAAGAGUGCGUAACAGCUCACUAGUCGAGUGAUUGAGCGUGGAUAAUAAUCGGGCAUAAAUAUAUCACCGAAACUAUGGGAUUGAAAAAUCGGUAGGGGAGCAUUGUAAUAGCGUUGAAGUUAUAUUGUAAAAUAUAGUGGAGUAAUUACAAAAGAAAAUGUAGGUAUAAGUAACGAUAAUGCGGGAGAGAAAACCGCACACCGAAAAACUAAGGGUUCCUCAGCUAUGUUAAUCAACUGAGGGUUAGUCGGGUCCUAAGAUGUAAUCGAAAGGUGUAAUCGAUGGGUAACCGGUUAAUAUUCCGGUACUUGCUUUUAUUGCGAUGAGAAGACGGAGUUAUGAAACUGUCGCGUACGGACGGAAGUGUACGUUGAAAUAGUUAGGUAUAAAAUAUAUAGGAAAAUCCGUAUAUUUUGCUAAGCUAUGAUAGUACCAUAAACCUUCGGGCGAGUGGAUAGUACAGGUAAGAGCUUCCAAGAAAAUCCUCUAAGCUUCAGAUAAAAGUGAUCCGUACCAAAACCGACACAGGUAGUUAAGGAGAGAAUCCUAAGGUGCUCGAGUGAUUCACGGCUAAGGAACUAGGCAAAAUUAACCUGUAACUUCGGGAUAAAGGUUGCCUUCCUUAAAAAAGAAGGUCGCAGUGAAGAUAUCCAGACGACUGUUUAUCAAAAACAUAGGACUCUGCUAAAUUGAAAAAUGAUGUAUAGGGUCUGACACCUGCCCAGUACUGGAAGGUUAAAGAAAAAGGUUAGCUUCGGCGAAGCUUUUAACUGAAGCCCCAGUAAACGGCGGCCGUAACUAUAACGGUCCUAAGGUAGCGAAAUUCCUUGUCGGGUAAGUUCCGACCUGCACGAAUGGUGUAACGAUCUGGAAACUGUCUCAGCCGUGAGCUCGGUGAAAUUGUAAUAUCGGUGAAGAUGCCGAUUACUCGCAAUGGGACGAAAAGACCCUGUGAACCUUUACUAUAGCUUCGUAUUGGUUUUGAUUAAAAAAUGUGUAGGAUAGGUGGGAGACUUUGAAGUACUGUCGUCAGAUAGUAUGGAGUCAACCUUGAAAUACCACCCUUUUUUUAAUUGAAAUCUAACUUAAUUAUUGAUUGAGGACAUUGCGUGGUGGGUAGUUUGACUGGGGUGGUCGCCUCCAAAAAGGUAACGGAGGCUCCCAAAGGUACCCUCAACACGUUUGGUAAUCGUGUGUAGAGUGUAAUGGCAUAAGGGUGCUUGACUGUGAGACCUACAAGUCGAUCAGGUACGAAAGUAGGGCAUAGUGAUCCGGUGGUUCCGCAUGGAAGGGCCAUCGCUCAAAGAAUAAAAGGUACUCCGGGGAUAACAGGCUAGUCUCCCCCAAGAGCUCAUAUCGACGGGGAGGUUCGGCACCUCGAUGUCGGCUCGUCACAUCCUGGGGCUGAAGAAGGUCCCAAGGGUUGGGCUGUUCGCCCAUUAAAGUGGCACGCGAGCUGGGUUCAGAACGUCGUGAGACAGUUCGGUCUCUAUCUAUUGUGAGCGUUAGAAGCUUGAGUGGAGCUGAUUCUAGUACGAGAGGACCGAAUUGGACGAACCUCUGGUGUAUCAGUUGUAUCGCCAGGUGCAUCGCUGAGUAGCUACGUUCGGAAGAGAUAAGCACUGAAAGCAUAUAAGUGCGAAACUCACCACAAGAUUAGGCUUCUUUUAAGGGUCGUUGAAGACUACAACGUUGAUAGGCUAUAAGUGUAAAGACAGUAAUGUCAUAGCUAAGUAGUACUAAUUACCCAUAGGCUUAUAUUU
RNAcentral lists this ribosomal RNA (2896 nucleotides) under Blattabacterium punctulatus CPU2. Its description in RNAcentral is "bacterial LSU rRNA". It matches the Rfam family "Bacterial large subunit ribosomal RNA". The record is from RNAcentral. Lineage: Bacteria; Pseudomonadati; Bacteroidota; Flavobacteriia; Flavobacteriales; Blattabacteriaceae.